RNAcentral lists this ribosomal RNA (2919 nucleotides) under Bacillus thuringiensis. RNAcentral's name for it is "bacterial LSU rRNA". It matches the Rfam family "Bacterial large subunit ribosomal RNA". The record is from RNAcentral. Lineage: Bacteria; Bacillati; Bacillota; Bacilli; Caryophanales; Bacillaceae.
UUAAGUUAGAAAGGGCGCACGGUGGAUGCCUUGACACUAGGAGUCGAUGAAGGACGGGACUAACGCCGAUAUGCUUCGGGGAGCUGUAAGUAAGCUUUGAUCCGAAGAUUUCCGAAUGGGGAAACCCACCAUACGUAAUGGUAUGGUAUCCUUAUCUGAAUACAUAGGGUAAGGAAGACAGACCCAGGGAACUGAAACAUCUAAGUACCUGGAGGAAGAGAAAGCAAAUGCGAUUUCCUGAGUAGCGGCGAGCGAAACGGAACAUAGCCCAAACCAAGAGGCUUGCCUCUUGGGGUUGUAGGACAUUCUAUACGGAGUUACAAAGGAACGAGGUAGACGAAGCGACCUGGAAAGGUCCGUCGUAGAGGGUAACAACCCCGUAGUCGAAACUUCGUUCUCUCUUGAAUGUAUCCUGAGUACGGCGGAACACGUGAAAUUCCGUCGGAAUCUGGGAGGACCAUCUCCCAAGGCUAAAUACUCCCUAGUGAUCGAUAGUGAACCAGUACCGUGAGGGAAAGGUGAAAAGCACCCCGGAAGGGGAGUGAAAGAGAUCCUGAAACCGUGUGCCUACAAAUAGUCAGAGCCCGUUAACGGGUGAUGGCGUGCCUUUUGUAGAAUGAACCGGCGAGUUACGAUCCCGUGCGAGGUUAAGCUGAAGAGGCGGAGCCGCAGCGAAAGCGAGUCUGAAUAGGGCGUUUAGUACGUGGUCGUAGACCCGAAACCAGGUGAUCUACCCAUGUCCAGGGUGAAGUUCAGGUAACACUGAAUGGAGGCCCGAACCCACGCACGUUGAAAAGUGCGGGGAUGAGGUGUGGGUAGCGGAGAAAUUCCAAUCGAACCUGGAGAUAGCUGGUUCUCCCCGAAAUAGCUUUAGGGCUAGCCUUAAGUGUAAGAGUCUUGGAGGUAGAGCACUGAUUGGACUAGGGGUCCUCAUCGGAUUACCGAAUUCAGUCAAACUCCGAAUGCCAAUGACUUAUCCUUAGGAGUCAGACUGCGAGUGAUAAGAUCCGUAGUCAAAAGGGAAACAGCCCAGACCGCCAGCUAAGGUCCCAAAGUGUGUAUUAAGUGGAAAAGGAUGUGGAGUUGCUUAGACAACUAGGAUGUUGGCUUAGAAGCAGCCACCAUUUAAAGAGUGCGUAAUAGCUCACUAGUCGAGUGACUCUGCGCCGAAAAUGUACCGGGGCUAAAUACACCACCGAAGCUGCGGAUUGAUACCAAUGGUAUCAGUGGUAGGGGAGCGUUCUAAGGACAGUGAAGUCAGACCGGAAGGACUGGUGGAGUGCUUAGAAGUGAGAAUGCCGGUAUGAGUAGCGAAAGACGGGUGAGAAUCCCGUCCACCGAAUGCCUAAGGUUUCCUGAGGAAGGCUCGUCCGCUCAGGGUUAGUCAGGACCUAAGCCGAGGCCGACAGGCGUAGGCGAUGGACAACAGGUUGAUAUUCCUGUACCACCUCUUUAUCGUUUGAGCAAUGGAGGGACGCAGAAGGAUAGAAGAAGCGUGCGAUUGGUUGUGCACGUCCAAGCAGUUAGGCUGAUAAGUAGGCAAAUCCGCUUAUCGUAAAGGCUGAGCUGUGAUGGGGAAGCUCCUAUGGAGCGAAGUCUUUGAUUCCCCGCUGCCAAGAAAAGCUUCUAGCGAGAUAAAAGGUGCCUGUACCGCAAACCGACACAGGUAGGCGAGGAGAGAAUCCUAAGGUGUGCGAGAGAACUCUGGUUAAGGAACUCGGCAAAAUGACCCCGUAACUUCGGGAGAAGGGGUGCUUUCUUAACGGAAAGCCGCAGUGAAUAGGCCCAAGCGACUGUUUAGCAAAAACACAGCUCUCUGCGAAGCCGUAAGGCGAAGUAUAGGGGGUGACACCUGCCCGGUGCUGGAAGGUUAAGGAGAGGGGUUAGCGUAAGCGAAGCUCUGAACUGAAGCCCCAGUAAACGGCGGCCGUAACUAUAACGGUCCUAAGGUAGCGAAAUUCCUUGUCGGGUAAGUUCCGACCCGCACGAAAGGUGUAACGAUUUGGGCACUGUCUCAACCAGAGACUCGGUGAAAUUAUAGUACCUGUGAAGAUGCAGGUUACCCGCGACAGGACGGAAAGACCCCGUGGAGCUUUACUGUAGCCUGAUAUUGAAUUUUGGUACAGUUUGUACAGGAUAGGCGGGAGCCUUUGAAACCGGAGCGCUAGCUUCGGUGGAGGCGCUGGUGGGAUACCGCCCUGACUGUAUUGAAAUUCUAACCUACGGGUCUUAUCGACCCGGGAGACAGUGUCAGGUGGGCAGUUUGACUGGGGCGGUCGCCUCCUAAAGUGUAACGGAGGCGCCCAAAGGUUCCCUCAGAAUGGUUGGAAAUCAUUCGUAGAGUGCAAAGGCAUAAGGGAGCUUGACUGCGAGACCUACAAGUCGAGCAGGGACGAAAGUCGGGCUUAGUGAUCCGGUGGUUCCGCAUGGAAGGGCCAUCGCUCAACGGAUAAAAGCUACCCCGGGGAUAACAGGCUUAUCUCCCCCAAGAGUCCACAUCGACGGGGAGGUUUGGCACCUCGAUGUCGGCUCAUCGCAUCCUGGGGCUGUAGUCGGUCCCAAGGGUUGGGCUGUUCGCCCAUUAAAGCGGUACGCGAGCUGGGUUCAGAACGUCGUGAGACAGUUCGGUCCCUAUCCGUCGUGGGCGUAGGAAAUUUGAGAGGAGCUGUCCUUAGUACGAGAGGACCGGGAUGGACGCACCGCUGGUGUACCAGUUGUUCUGCCAAGGGCAUAGCUGGGUAGCUAUGUGCGGAAGGGAUAAGUGCUGAAAGCAUCUAAGCAUGAAGCCCCCCUCAAGAUGAGAUUUCCCAUAGCGUAAGCUAGUAAGAUCCCUGAAAGAUGAUCAGGUUGAUAGGUUCGAGGUGGAAGCAUGGUGACAUGUGGAGCUGACGAAUACUAAUAGAUCGAGGACUUAACCAU